GUAAGUGGUGUUUUCUCUUCUUUGCUUCAGGGAGUGUUGAUUUGUCUGGUAAGUGUUCAUUUUAUUGUGGUAGGUGGUGUUGCUUCAAAAUUGCCUGAGGGAACCCAAUGAAAGCACACGUGGGCUUUAGAUAUGCUUUAUAUUGAAAAGGCUGGUGUGUGUUAAAUCUUUUUCAGAUUAAUUUUUUUUUUUUCUCUAAGAUCUUACUUUGGAUUUCUAGCAUAACAUACUUUGUUCUCAAGUUUGGAAACGGGCCCACGUGUUGAUGAAGUGUUGAUGAAAAGUUGCCUUUCACAAAUUCUUUUUAUGGGAGUCUUUUCUUUCUUUUCCUUUCUUUUGGUCACUUCUCCCUGCCUUUAUUGGAACUUUUUUUUUUUUAAUGCCCUCCAUUCAAAUUUUGAUAAACUAUGAAACUCCUGGAGACAUUUUGCUUACGUUUUUGCUACUCUGGUUGUGCUGUUCCAGCCUUUGGGUAUCCUGUUACCAGGAACCUCAUUAAUCUCCUGGCUCCCCCAGUAUGACAGUGACUUCAUCUGGAGAGUAUGACAUGGUCCAUUGGUCUUCUGCACAAUAUGGUGGUUAAGUCCUACUCCACAAUAACACUUUUUUCUUUUUUAAAUAAUUAGCUAAAUACUAGUUAGUUAACCUAUAGUGCAAUAUUGGUUUCAGGAGUAGAAUUUACUGACAAUAACAUUUUUACUAAAGUUCCUGAAGCUGGUAUGUCCCUACCUUUUCUAGUAAUACUGAUGCACCAACAUUAUUUUACAAAUUUCCUUCUGUGGAUUAGUGACUGAGAGUAGCUGUUUUUCUAGGUAUGUUGUUGAUGCAAAAAUUUCUCAUUUGAAAGAACGGGGGAGAGGUAAUCCAGAAGGGAAAUGAAUAGCAGGAAAACAAACAAACAAACAAGAAUCCUUUGACCUGUGAAUCAAAUUUCAUAAUAUAAUAUAUACAACAUCUGAUUAUUUCAUUUUAUUUUUUUAUGAUAGUCGACUUCCACUUUGAGCUGAUACAGAAAAUGCUGGACCACAUUGUCUUUUGCAUGAACUAUAGAAAUGAAAUCUCCCUGUGUCUAAUAUGUACUUGCUUAUCUUAUUGGUUUUUAGUCCAGGUUAUUGGUUUUGUCAGAAGAAUUUGUUCUUUAAAAAGAUCUGAUUUGGUUUAGCUAUAUUCACAUUUCCUCUUUAAAAAUUCACUUUCACGUUAAUUAAUUUACCUGAGAUAUAUGUGGUUUGUUGCUUGAAGGGCCUUUUGUUUAAACACUGAGAUUUAUCUGGGUUUUUGGCUUUUAAUAAUAUGACCUUAAAAUAUGUUUUACUUGUGUUUAUGUGUCUUUAAUGGAACAUAUUUGAAGAAGAGUCCCCGGAGGUCAAUUAAAUUGCUCCUGAAACAUUCAAAAGACUGUAGAUGUUGCUUAAAAUAACCUACAUGGGAUUUUGACCCCAUGCUGUUUUCAGUCCUGCAACAGAAUUUUUCUAUUAAAGAUUCUGGAUUAAAAAGAUCAGAAAACAGGAGACAGAAAGACAGGAGGGUGAAGAAGGUUAGAUUUCAACCUUGCAUAGGCUGCUCCCCAGACUUUGAAGCCUACGUGAACCGAGAUGUUGUUUGAACAGGUUGCCUAACAAUGGGCUGAAUAGGGAACCACAUUUUAAAUUGACAAAGUUAGCCCGUGCUGGGAGUUUUUUAUCCUUUGCCUCUUGACCUUUUUGGAUGCCAUAAAUGAAACAUGGUGGUGUAGGUUUGAAAAGGCCAGGGGCUACUUAUUUAUACCCCUCAUAGGAUGGAGGAAGAGAAAAAGCAAGAGUGAACAAAUGGAGUAUGUUUAACUCUGUCCCUUAACCCAGGCAGCAGUAAACAGAAAGACCCUUUGGUUUCAAUCUGUAACCCCAUUUUGGCAUGAGAUCUUCUUUGUUAUUUUUAAAUUCUGUUCACUUUAUUCAGGCAAGCCACCCAGAAAGAUCAAAUCUGAAGAAGUGGUGGAGUUUUACUUUCACUGUAAAGAGGACUUGAAAAUACCUUAUUUGAGAUGAAGUCUUGUUUUUACCUUAGGUUUCAUGAUUUGUGUUCUGCUGCUUCUAUUGUGAACACCUUCCACUUUGAAAUCAGAUGUGCCAGAGUUUCUGCCUGUGAACGGAUCUAAAAUAUCAUUAUUUUUCUUAUUAAAGAAUGCCAGUCUAGCUCUCUAUGCCGUCUAAUGGCCAUACUGACUUUCCACUGCUGGGUAAAAGUAACGGUGUGAUUAUAUGAGCGAUAAUUGCCUAGCUUUCAUUUCCACAGUGUUUGAAGAUUCUUUGGCCGUGCUGUUAGCAAAGCGAUACUACGCUUGUACAACAUUAAAUGUUUAGUUAUACUAGGUGCAUUCUGUGAUAUAGUAUUUAUUUUAUAAUCCAAAUAUGAUCAAAUAUAUUAUAGAAUUGGACUGAAUUAUGGAAGGCAUUGCCAUUCAUCUCUUUGCUUUGGUGAUUUAUGUUAGUACUGUGCUGAUAAUGAGAAAUAUAAUGCAUUCUUGUCUUCAUAAAGCCACGCUACUGGGGGAGGGGAGGGGUGGAGGGCUGUAAGACAUACCAGCACCAAAAGAAAGAAAGAGAGUGAGAAAGGGAGGAUGGGAGGAAGGGAGGAACAGAGGAAUGGAGGAAGGAAAGAAGGGAAAGAAAGACAGAAAGGAGAGAAGGAAGGGAGGGAGGGAGAGAGGAAGAAAGAAAGAACGGAAGGAAGGAAGGAAGGAAGGAAGGAAGGAAGGAAGGAAAAGAAAGAAAGGAAUGGAAUAGGAAGCAUGGUAGAGAAAACAAGUGUCUCAGAAGAAUGGGGAGCAUUGACAAUUUGAAUGCAGUUAGCUGUGCAGAAAAAAAAUGUAGUUUAUUUUUCUAGGACUGAUCAGUUCUUUCUGAGUUCUCAUCAUACCAGAGAGGGGAAAAUUUGGACUUGCUAGUUAACACAUCUCAGUCUCGUCUGAUUUAAACAGUUGCAAAUAAGUAGGUGAAGUUCAACUCCCCGCAGGUUCUGGCUCAGAUAAGCUCUGCUCUUUCUGUCCCAACUGCCACGGGGAUGCCAUGAGGAGGGCUCGGGGCAUUGCCUCUCGGUAUUGUGUUGGUUCGCACGUGUGCGCUGGCUGGGGCCCACCGAGUUGUGUCAAGGUCUGUGCGUGGCAUACAGGCUGUUUGUCUCUCCAGGCUUGGCUUGUCCUGAGGUCUGGGUAGCUCACAGUUAGGCCCCAGCUGGUAUGAUCAUCCUGUCAUCAGGGUGCAGGGACAGUUUGUGCUGGAGAGUUCACAGCCAGCACCACCGGGUGCCUUCUUUGCUUUCUGGACAGGGCACAGUGGGAUUUGGGAAUAUCUUCUAGCCAGCUCGAUGCAUUAUGGUCCUCAGGUUCCCUCGCUGCAUCCAAACAUUUGGACUUUUCAAGUUGUUCUCCGCACUCUUUGAAACAGUCUGUUCCCCUAAAUCUAAACAGGAUGAAGGAUAAAAGCCUCUUUGCCCUCGGCAUUACUCUCAGCCACUCUCACACAUCUGUCUACCAGGAUUUCAAAAGAGAGAGGAGAGGGUCAAGAUACCGUUCUCUGCUUCUUUUGCCUCCACUUUCUCUCCUCACAGCUCUUCUGGAAUGGUGUUCUGCUUUUCUUGCAUCGUCUCCUGAGUUCUCUCUACUUCUGGUAUAGAGUAACUUCUAAAAUCUGUAGACAAACUGAGCUCUUAACGUGCUAUAUGAGAGCAAAUAGGACUUUAUGAGUUUAAAGUCUAUCAGUCCUGACCUUCAUGACUGUUAACUCGGAAUCUCCCUACUGCCCUUCUUUACUUGCUUUCUUUCACUCCUACUAGCACAGAUCUAAUGCCUUCCAUGCACUAGGCAGGGGAUGUCGUGGGCUCACUAGAAAGCAACCUAUAUACACAGAAAUGCAAAAGAGGAAAGCCCAUUAGAAUGUAUCUACAAUACUGCACCCCUUCAAGGAGAUCAGUGCAGGUUCAUGAGGAUCGUGUGUCUGGUCAACAAAAGAGACAGCAUUUAUUGUUUUUGAUGGCUUGAGUUGAGGGCAUCCAGAAGGACUGGGGAUAGAACGAAGGAGACUUCGGAUGAUUGGCCAAGGAGUUCGUCAUACGGCACCACAUCCCCAAAGUGAUUUUGGCAAAGCUAUAGUCCCAUUAACUGUUGCGAGAGAUACAGAACAAAGGCCCAUUUGGGGUUGUGACAUACCGUAUGUUCCCCGUGGAGAUUCAUAACGUGUAUUAGCAUAUUAAUAUUUCAGAUUCUUCCUGCCAUGUUGGAACAUACGUAACACCAUUUGACCCACGCGGGCCAUCUCUAUGUAAUACCGAUUAACAAUCCAGAGAGUUCACUUUGAGAACUGCUGCUAAGGCACAUCGAUAAGGCUGGGAAGAAUUUUCAGUGGGAACUAAUGUAAGGAAAGCAGGGCUGUAGGAAUCUCAUUCCAUUUUUACUGAGGAAUUAAUAUAUACAAGGCACACUAUGAUUAAUCGGCCCACAAAUAUGAGUUCACGACUUAGAGUUUCUCAAAAUUACUGCCUUUCUCUUCAAGAAAUGCAAGAUGUCAGAUACUUACAGUCAGUCUGCUAUCCCGUGCAAGUAAAACAAUCAGCUUUUGUUUGGAAUAUCGAGAUAAUCACAGAAGACCUUCCAGACCUUCCUGAAAAUAAUUGCUUAUAGUAAACGGUUACUGUCCUUGGCUGGGUAGACAUGAUAUAGUAACGGUGAUGAAUAUCAAUUGUAGCUGACAUUUUAAACAUAACAUCAAGCUAUUUCAAAAUAGUCUUUCAUAGUAAUAGUGUUUAAACCAAGCCUUUUUGGUGAUCUCUGAAAGGACCUAUAUGAAAUAAUACUUGGAGGGGCCUACAUUUCAUUUUAUAAUGAAUUAUCUCCCAUUUUAAUUGAAAAUGUUACAACUUUUUAUGUUAAUCAUGAUAGAAUGCCUCAAAGGACUUUUUUAAUUAUAUUUUUUAUGGCUUGACCAAUUUUAUGUUUAAUUUUUAAUUUCUUUCUUCUUUCUUCAUAUAGUAUUCUUCUUUUUAUGUGCUUUUGUCUUCACGGAGCACCCUCGCGUAUUCAACGCAUCCUACAGCUGAUGUCAGUAGUACUAAGGCUCAAGAUCUCAAAUUCAUUCAAGGGCAUUUUAUUCGUCAAUAAUCACUAUGUCUUCUUUUUUUUUUUUUAAGGUAGCAAUUUUUUUUUUCAUAUUUUUAAGUCUUUGUAGAACAUCAAGUCCUGCAGAUCCUUGCUUUAUCAAAGAUUGUUUAUUCAACUAUGACUUCUUUGGGUUUUUUUCCUCCCCCUCUCCUUCCCUCUCUUCAUUCCUUCCUCCCUUCUUUCCUUUGGCCAUUUCAGCCAUUUGACUGUCAGAAAUCCUAUCAGGAAAUAUAAAUGGAUAUGAUAUUUGAGGAUAACGUUUUCCAGGGACAGACUAAAAGGACUGUGAAAUGUCACUCCUGAAGAGGCCCUUUGAGAACAUCCAGCCUGGUGUUUCAGUUAUAGAUGGGCACGAUGAGAACCAAGUAUUAGGAAGGCCAAAGGACUUGUCCAAGUUCACCCUGCCUUUUGGCUCUAGAACCAGCAUCAAACAGAGUUUUAAAGAAAUUUAAAACUAGGCAUUUGAGUAACAGAUGAGGAUUACCUAUGGCAAUUUCCAAUUCUGCUUAUUUUUGAUUAUGUUAAAAUCAGCCAAAAUAUAUAGCAUAGGUGGGCUCUGUUUAUGCCCCACAUCAGAACCUUCCGUCAGUGAGCUAAUGCAGUUAUAUGUUAUAGGUAAGCGCACUAUUUGCAAUGGAAAUAUUUAUAUGUAUAAUGCCUAAAAUUCCCCAAAUAUGGGCCACAAUAUAUUCCAUGGUUUAUUUAUCCAAACACAAAUACGUCUUUGAUUUUGAGUGCGAUAUAUUUUGUUAGUUGAUGUGCCAAGGAAUGGAUUAUAAUCAUGAUGAAGUUUAGACUUUCUAAUGCAAUGAAUUAUCUUCAUUUGCUAGAAAAAGUUGGAAUUGUCAAAA
RNAcentral lists this long non-coding RNA (5985 nucleotides) under Lynx pardinus (Iberian lynx). Lineage: Eukaryota; Metazoa; Chordata; Mammalia; Carnivora; Felidae. The record is from RNAcentral.